AUAGAAUCACGGUGAACGGCUCA
This 23-nucleotide non-coding RNA is filed under the name Arabidopsis thaliana (thale cress). Lineage: Eukaryota; Viridiplantae; Streptophyta; Magnoliopsida; Brassicales; Brassicaceae. The record is from RNAcentral.